This 260-nucleotide ribosomal RNA is filed under the name uncultured bacterium. RNAcentral's name for it is "partial 16S ribosomal RNA". It matches the Rfam family "Bacterial small subunit ribosomal RNA", at positions 524 to 777 of the family's 1533-position model. The record is from RNAcentral.
UACGUAGGGUGCAAGCGUUGUCCGGAAUUAUUGGGCGUAAAGAGCUCGUAGGCGGUUUGUCGCGUCUGCUGUGAAAAACUCAGGGCUUAACCCUGAGCCUGCAGUGGGGUACGGGCAGACUAGAGUGUGGUAGGGGGAGAUCGGAAUUCCUGGUGUAGCGGUGGAAUGCGCAGAUAUCAGGAGGAACACCGGUGGCGAAGGCGGAUCUCUGGGCCAUAACUGACGCUGGAGGAGCGAAAAGCAUGGGGGAGCGAACAGGA